GCACCACACGCUUGCAGCAUUAUUCUGUCUGCGAUGGGAGUGCAACCAAACGGAACGGAACGAAUUUUAAUGCAUUCAGGUUUCGUUCAGUUCUGUCCACAUUGACAAUGAAUGGAGACAGACCUGAAACGUUUUCUUCCGCUAUUGAGAUCCUAUGACAGAUCUCAAUAGCGGAAUUGAAAACGCUAAUGUGAAAGUAGCCUUAGCU
Molecule: long non-coding RNA, 208 nt
Organism: Bufo bufo (common toad)
Lineage: Eukaryota; Metazoa; Chordata; Amphibia; Anura; Bufonidae
Exons: 3
Source: RefSeq, a predicted model, not a curated record